GGGUGGCUGCGAUAGCUGUGGCCUCCAAGGAAGGGGCCGUCCUCCUCUUCCCAGACUCUAGAUUCUAGAGGGCAACCUCUGUUUGCUCAUGCUGGAGCGUGGCAGGUGCACAAUGUUUCCUUGGGAAUCCUCAGCAGGGCACGUCUGGCUUUUACCACCCAGUUGCUUCGAGCCAGGAGAUGGAGGAGUCAUCUGUUGCACGCUGGAGGCUGGAGCCUGCAGAUGGCAUGGUUCUGUGGCUCACCUCGCUGCAGUUGGUGGCAGAGACAGAGACUGCAGCUUGACCAGAGUGGUGGAGUGGUAGGAGAGUGUCUGCGGGGGCCUCCUGGAGGUGUCUGUCUUGUUGCCACUCUCGAUGCCCACAUGAGAGGACCUGAGAUAAUUUCUGGCAGCCUGAGACUCCAUGGGAAAAACAGAAGAUAUGUAUCUCAAGAGCACUCCACAACAAAGAUUCUGCCUGCAAUCCUCCACUUCAAGGUCUGUUCCAGGAAACCUGUGUAACACAGUUAUGCAUAGAGUGGUCUUAGGAAGCUGACUCUAACAUGAAAAUUUAGAGUUGGAUCUUUUGCUGACAUAUUGAAUAUUCAUAAGAGCAUAUGAUACAUUUGUCUAUCAUAAACAUGUCAUUUCAAAAAACCCUCAAAGUUGCCUUGUAGAACAUAAUUUUAAAACUAGUGUGUAGGAAUAUUUCAUAUCAGUUAUUCAGUCUUCUUAAUAUCUGAACCGAAAUUAAUCUUCCAUUCUGCUUUUAUUUAUAAAUAAUGAUUUAUUGUCAGAUUCAAUAAUUUAUAUUUUCAUUUAUUCUAAGGUAGGAAAUACCAGCAUAAAAAUAAAUUAUUUGAAACAAAUCACAUUGUUGUCCCAUUUUACCAUUACUCACAUGUAGAAGAUAUUGUUUUUAACAAAAACAAUAAGAGAAACAGAAACUACCAUUUAUUAACUGAUGCUUACUGGAAGCUUUAGAAGGAUCUUAUUUAACUUUCAAUCAAGUUUUUCAUGGACAUUUUUGUUAUUGAGAAAUAAUUUUAAUUUAUCAGAUCCUCAAAGCAAAUUAUAUAGGUGCCAUUAUUAACAGAUUUUUUAAAAAAACCUGAUUCAUAGAAAAGGUUAAUGAUAUGGUUUGGAUCUUUGACCCCAUCAAAUCUCAUGUUGAAUUGCAAUCCCCAGUGCUGGAAGUGGGGCCUGGUGGGAGCUGAUUAAAUUAUGGAGGUGGAGUUCUCGUGAAUGGUAUAGCACCAUUCCUUUGGUGCUGUCUUGUGGUUGAGUUUUCAUGACAUUUGGUUGUUUAAAAGUUUGUGGCAUCUUUCCCAUCUCUCUCUUGCUCUUCCUGCAGCCAGGUGAAGGGCUGUUCCCCCUUUGCCUUCUGCCAUGAUUGUAAAUUUCCUGAGGCCUCCCCAAAAGCUGAGCAGGUGUCAGCAUCAUGCUUCCUUAACAGCCAAUGGAAUUACGAGUCAAUUAAAUCUAUUUUCCUUAUAAAUUACAAGUCUUCAGUUUUUCUUCAUAGCAGUGAGGAAAUGAACUAAUUCAGCUAGUAAAUGACAAAUGCCAUAAAAAUAGCAAAUAGCACAAGAAGAUAUCCAACCAAGACUAGGGGACUCCAGAACCUAAGGAUUUCUGAAAGCAUAGGUUUUUAAGAGUGUGAAGAAACUAAGCCUGGGACACAUUUAGGAACUCAAUUACAUAAGAAAUAAAAAUCAUAUAUAGACUAUUUAAAUUUAGA
RNAcentral lists this long non-coding RNA (1720 nucleotides) under Homo sapiens (human). Its description in RNAcentral is "HSALNT0371983". Lineage: Eukaryota; Metazoa; Chordata; Mammalia; Primates; Hominidae. The record is from RNAcentral.